Molecule: long non-coding RNA, 613 nt
Organism: Scleropages formosus (Asian bonytongue)
Lineage: Eukaryota; Metazoa; Chordata; Actinopteri; Osteoglossiformes; Osteoglossidae
Exons: 3
Source: RefSeq, a predicted model, not a curated record
UUACUUAAAUGUCAAUAGGGGAGAUGUGUUGUGAAAAGGAAAACACCCAAGAACAGUAGGUAAGGUGUAUGGAAACACCCUGGGAACAGGCCAAGGGACCGCCCCUCUUGAGCAGUGGAGUUACUGGGAAAAACAGUGCUGCAAUGUAAGAGAAAUGUAACUGCAACCUCACUCCAAAUGUCCUAAUUUCUGUAAUCAUCAACCCUCGCAACGUCCUCAUCGACCACAUCCUCGGAUUCUCCCCACAUACAACGUCUGCACCUCGGAUUCAUGACGACUGUCCCUGACGAGUACUGCCUUGUCCCAAGAACUGUCGCAACAAACGGUCCCGCGGUUGGAUCCAAACCCAGGUUUCCAGUCUGCACGCAGUGACAGUUGUCCACUUGAAAGGAAAUAAUUGCCUCAUCCAUUCAUUUAAUAAAAACUUUUGUCCAGCACAAGUGUUUACAACAGUACAGGGUAAAAAUCUAAUGAUGAAUGAAUAAAAAGUAAUUGGGAGGGGGGUCAGCUUAAGCUUAUGGUGAGAUUACCUCGGAGCAGAAGGAUCGACCCCAUCACUUAACCUGGGAGGAUUGUCCAUUGACUGGUCACUCUUCAUAGAUAUACAGCUGGC